This 1372-nucleotide ribosomal RNA is filed under the name uncultured bacterium. RNAcentral's name for it is "bacterial SSU rRNA". It matches the Rfam family "Bacterial small subunit ribosomal RNA", at positions 28 to 1381 of the family's 1533-position model. The record is from RNAcentral.
GAUGAACGCUGGCGGCGUGCCUAAUGCAUGUAAGUCGAGCGAACGGACGAGAAGCUUGCUUCUCUGAUGUUAGCGGCGGACGGGUGAGUAACACGUGGAUAACCUACCUAUAAGACUGGGAUAACUUCGGGAAACCGGAGCUAAUACCGGAUAAUAUUUUGAACCGCAUGGUUCAAAAGUGAAAGACGGUCUUGCUGUCACUUAUAGAUGGAUCCGCGCUGCAUUAGCUAGUUGGUAAGGUAACGGCUUACCAAGGCAACGAUGCAUAGCCGACCUGAGAGGGUGAUCGGCCACACUGGAACUGAGACACGGUCCAGACUCCUACGGGAGGCAGCAGUAGGGAAUCUUCCGCAAUGGGCGAAAGCCUGACGGAGCAACGCCGCGUGAGUGAUGAAGGUCUUCGGAUCGUAAAACUCUGUUAUUAGGGAAGAACAUAUGUGUAAGUAACUGUGCACAUCUUGACGGUACCUAAUCAGAAAGCCACGGCUAACUACGUGCCAGCAGCCGCGGUAAUACGUAGGUGGCAAGCGUUAUCCGGAAUUAUUGGGCGUAAAGCGCGCGUAGGCGGUUUUUUAAGUCUGAUGUGAAAGCCCACGGCUCAACCGUGGAGGGUCAUUGGAAACUGGAAAACUUGAGUGCAGAAGAGGAAAGUGGAAUUCCAUGUGUAGCGGUGAAAUGCGCAGAGAUAUGGAGGAACACCAGUGGCGAAGGCGACUUUCUGGUCUGUAACUGACGCUGAUGUGCGAAAGCGUGGGGAUCAAACAGGAUUAGAUACCCUGGUAGUCCACGCCGUAAACGAUGAGUGCUAAGUGUUAGGGGGUUUCCGCCCCUUAGUGCUGCAGCUAACGCAUUAAGCACUCCGCCUGGGGAGUACGACCGCAAGGUUGAAACUCAAAGGAAUUGACGGGGACCCGCACAAGCGGUGGAGCAUGUGGUUUAAUUCGAAGCAACGCGAAGAACCUUACCAAAUCUUGACAUCCUUUGACAACUCUAGAGAUAGAGCUUUCCCCUUCGGGGGACAAAGUGACAGGUGGUGCAUGGUUGUCGUCAGCUCGUGUCGUGAGAUGUUGGGUUAAGUCCCGCAACGAGCGCAACCCUUAAGCUUAGUUGCCAUCAUUAAGUUGGGCACUCUAAGUUGACUGCCGGUGACAAACCGGAGGAAGGUGGGGAUGACGUCAAAUCAUCAUGCCCCUUAUGAUUUGGGCUACACACGUGCUACAAUGGACAAUACAAAGGGCAGCGAAACCGCGAGGUCAAGCAAAUCCCAUAAAGUUGUUCUCAGUUCGGAUUGUAGUCUGCAACUCGACUACAUGAAGCUGGAAUCGCUAGUAAUCGUAGAUCAGCAUGCUACGGUGAAUACGUUCCCGGGUCU